Molecule: unclassified non-coding RNA, 202 nt
Filed under: Hevea brasiliensis (rubber tree)
Lineage: Eukaryota; Viridiplantae; Streptophyta; Magnoliopsida; Malpighiales; Euphorbiaceae
Source: RNAcentral
AUUUGCGACAAAAUCUCCAUGUUUCUUCUUCUAUUGUCGUUUGUUUUUUGGUUGGUGAAUUGUGAUUUUGUCUCUGUCUAGGUAAUGUGUGCUUCAAUUUAUAUAUAUCAUACGUGAAAAAGAUGACAUAUGAAGAGAGGGUUGAGUUGGGGAUUGAGGACGUUUUGGAUUGGGACACCACAGAUCAGAGAGUCUGUAGAGG